GGAUUAGAUACCCUGGUAGUCCACGCUGUAAACGAUGUUCACUCGCUGUCGGCGAUACACAGUCGGCGGCUGAGCGAAAGCAUUAAGUGAACCACCUGGGGAGUACGAUCGCAAGGUUGAAACUCAAAGGAAUUGACGGGGGCCCGCACAAGCGGAGGAACAUGUGGUUUAAUUCGAUGAUACGCGAGGAACCUUACCUGGGCUUAAAUGUAGAUUGCAUAGAGUAGAAAUAUUCUUUCCCUUCGGGGCUAUUUACAAGGUGCUGCAUGGUUGUCGUCAGCUCGUGUUGC
This 290-nucleotide ribosomal RNA is filed under the name uncultured bacterium. RNAcentral's name for it is "partial 16S ribosomal RNA". It matches the Rfam family "Bacterial small subunit ribosomal RNA", at positions 775 to 1068 of the family's 1533-position model. The record is from RNAcentral.